GAUGAACGCUGGCGGCGUGCCUAAUACAUGCAAGUCGAGCGAACGGACGAGAAGCUUGCUUCUCUGAUGUUAGCGGCGGACGGGUGAGUAACACGUGGAUAACCUACCUAUAAGACUGGGAUAACUUCGGGAAACCGGAGCUAAUACCGGAUAAUAUUUUGAACCGCAUGGUUCAAAAGUGAAAGACGGUCUUGCUGUCACUUAUAGAUGGAUCCGCGCUGCAUUAGCUAGUUGGUAAGGUAACGGCUUACCAAGGCAACGAUGCAUAGCCGACCUGAGAGGGUGGUCGGCCACACUGGAACUGAGACACGGACCAGACUCCUACGGGAGGCAGCAGUAGGGAAUCUUCCGCAAUGGGCGAAAGCCUGACGGAGCAACGCCGCGUGAGUGAUGAAGGUCUUCGGAUCGUAAAACUCUGUUAUUAGGGAAGAACAUAUGUGUAAGUAACUGUGCACAUCUUGACGGUACCUAAUCAGAAAGCCACGGCUAACUACGUG
This 497-nucleotide ribosomal RNA is filed under the name uncultured bacterium. RNAcentral's name for it is "partial 16S ribosomal RNA". It matches the Rfam family "Bacterial small subunit ribosomal RNA", at positions 28 to 507 of the family's 1533-position model. The record is from RNAcentral.